CGUCAAUCAAUCAUCGCCAACGCAUCCCUAA
Molecule: small RNA, 31 nt
Filed under: Vibrio cholerae O1 biovar El Tor str. N16961
Lineage: Bacteria; Pseudomonadati; Pseudomonadota; Gammaproteobacteria; Vibrionales; Vibrionaceae
Source: RNAcentral